This 2035-nucleotide long non-coding RNA is filed under the name Salmo salar (Atlantic salmon). RNAcentral describes it as "lncRNA (ENSSSAG00000102355.1, ENSSSAG00000112344.1)". The record is from RNAcentral. Lineage: Eukaryota; Metazoa; Chordata; Actinopteri; Salmoniformes; Salmonidae.
CGCCAAGUCUAGGUCCAAGAGGCUUCUGAACAGCUUCUACUCUCAAGCAAUAAGACUCCUGAACAUCUAAUCAAAUGGCCACCCAGACUAUUUGCAUUGCCCCCCCCUGCUCUUUUACAUUGCUGCUACUCUCUGUUGUUAUCAUCAAUGCAUAGUCACUUUAAUAACUCUACCUACAUGUACAUAUUACCUCAACUAACCGGAGCCCUCGCACAUUGACUCUGUACCUGUACCCCCCUGUAUAUAGUCUCGCUAAUGUUACUUUACUGCUGCUCUUUAAUUACUUGUUACUUUUAUUUCUUAUUCUUAUUCAUAUUUUAUUUAAACUACAUUGUUGGUUAGGGGCUCGUAAGUAAGCAUUUCACUGUAAGGUUGUAUUCGGCGCAUGUGACUAAUACAAUUAGAUUUGAUUUUGAUUUGAAAAACAUUUAUUUGAUUUCAUAUCCAUUUUCAUUUUAGUAAUUUAACAGACGCUCUUAUCCAGAGUUAGUGCAUUCAUCUUAAGGGAGGGAGGGGGAUAAGACUGACUGAGAUGUCUUGCAGUAUUUAAGAUAGUGGUACAGCACUCAUCUAGAAUUCCCCUACUCAGACUAUAGCAACAACAAAAACUUAUUGAAAGACACAAAUACUUGCAGAGAUGAGUUGUCUUCCCAGACUAUAAAUGAGCACAUGGUAGUUCUAAUAUGGUGUCCAUACACAUGACUGUCCUAAAAUGGACACCAUAUUCUCAUUAAUGUUUGUGACCUGUUAUAACAGAAAUUAUGUCAUGCUCAUGCCAGAUACUGCGAAUAACAAGGAUCAUUACCAAGUUUUGUUUCUAUGGCGUUUGCAUGAUGCCUGUGUAUUGACGAUACUAUGAAAAAAAUCUGCUCUGGUGGUCCCUUUCUCAACUGUCACCAAGUUUAACGUUGAGUGUUGGCUGGCCGUGAUGUGUCCUAGACAGCCAGGAUGUGUCCCCAAUGGCACUCUGUUCCCUACAUAGUGUACUACUAUGGGUCCUGGUCAAAAGUAGUGCACUACAUAGGAAAUAGGGUGUUAUUUUGGACGUAGCCCCAGUGUUUGGAGACAGCUCCUCCACCCUGGCAAACAGGAGCCUAGCAAUUACAUCGGAUCUCCAGGAGACAAACAAGGACUUAUCAAAGGCCUUCAGCACCAAACCAAAGCAGACUUUGAGUUAGUGCCUGUGUGUGUUUGUUUGUCUCUGUGUGGGUGCGUGAAUGCGCGCGUGUGUACGGUGGGGGGUAUAGAGAGAGAUAAAAACUAAACAAUCCACUAUAUAUUAGGUGCCACCUUAGCAGCCAAACACUCUGUAGUUACCCUCCAGUACCCUCCAGCAAAACACACUCUGUAGGUACCCUCCAGUACCCUCCAGCCAAACACACUGUACAGUAGGACCCUCCAGCCAAACACUCUGUAGGUUCCCUCCAACCAAACACUCUGUAGGUUCCCUCCAGCCAAACACACUGUAGGUUCCCUCCAGCCAAAGACAUUGUAGGUUCCCUCCAGCCAAACACACUGUAGGUUCCCUCCAGCCAAACACACUGUAGGUUCCCUCCAACCAAACACAUUGUAGGUCCCUCCUGCCAAACACUCUGUAGGUUCCCUCCAGUGAAACACACUAUACAGUGUCUCCCUCCAGCCAAAUACACUGUAGGUACCAUCUUGCCACUGAAAAUGUUGUUUGUGAAAUGCUUAACCGGGACCCUGACCUAGACUAAAUGUAUUCAUAAAAAUGCCAGGCCCAAACUUGUCACGCUCGGGCUACAAAUCCAAACUGUACAGGAACGGACCACCACAUCAGGGAUGGAAAUUGGUAUAUGAGAAUUAUAUUUUGGUGCAUCAGAUGACCUGGCCUCCACAAUCAACCGACCUCAACCCAAUUGAGAUGGUUUGGGAUGAGUUGGACCACAGAGUGAAGGAAAAGCAGCCAACUGGUGCUCAGCAUAUGUGGGAACUCCUUCAAGACUGUUGGGAAAGCAUUCCAGGUGAAGCUGGUUGAGAGAAUGACAUAGUGUGCAAAGCUGUCAUCAAGGCA